Molecule: long non-coding RNA, 674 nt
Organism: Echinops telfairi (small Madagascar hedgehog)
Lineage: Eukaryota; Metazoa; Chordata; Mammalia; Afrosoricida; Tenrecidae
Exons: 3
Source: RefSeq, a predicted model, not a curated record
AGGAAAUAUUUAGGCAAGUAUCAACUAGCAACACGUAUUGCUACUGAGAAGAAUCAAGCUUCCGGUGAUAAAAUGAAAUGAGAGCAACACAGCCGAGCCAUCUUGGGUUACUUGCAUGUUAGUAUCAUGGGAUGAGUGGACAAACAAGAUGUGGAAGAUGCAUACAAUGGAAACGUAUGUAGCCGCACAAUGGAAUGAAGCCCUGAUGCAUGUUACAGCAUGGACGAACCUUGAAAACAUUGUGCUGAGUGAAAUUGAUCCCCACUGGUGAGAAAACUUGGUCACAUAAAUAAGAAGAUGGGAAUGAAAAAGGUUUAGCAGAGCACUGUCAGUUAAUGCUUUGAAAGUAUGCUGAGGUGCACACCAAAACUUAGAGUGACUGCCAGCAAAAGUAACAUUUUCCCCAUUUUUAAUUAAUAAAUCAUGUGCAGACCACAAAAUUCACCCUUUUAACAUGUAAACUUGAGUCAUUUUCAGUUUAAUCCCAUCAAUUUCUGAGUCUUCUUUUGAACUAUGAAAACAUUCAGAAUUAACACCCAGGGGCCUGAAACCUCUCAGGUGCCCCCAUCCUCUUUGCUUCCCACACAUCCUCAUCGCUGAUGGUUACAGCCCCGAUGUACUGAGCACAUCCGUGUGGUCUGCUGCGGAACCAGUGACAUACAUGAACUUGUUAA